Molecule: ribosomal RNA, 253 nt
Filed under: uncultured bacterium
Lineage: Bacteria
Description: partial 16S ribosomal RNA
Rfam family: Bacterial small subunit ribosomal RNA
Source: RNAcentral
UACGGGGGGGGCAAGCGUUGUUCGGAAUUACUGGGCGUAAAGGGCUCGUAGGCGGCCAACUAAGUCAGACGUGAAAUCCCCAGGCUCAACCUGGGAACUGCGUCUGAUACUGGAUGGCUUGAAUUCGGGAGAGGGAUGCAGAAUUCCACGUGUAGCAGUGAAAUGCGUAGAGAUGUGGAGGAAUACCGAUGGCGAAGGCAGCCCCCUGGGAUAACACUGACGCUCAUGCACGAAAGCGUGGGGAGCAAACAGG